AUUGAACGCUGGCGGCAUGCCUUACACAUGCAAGUCGAACGGCAGCAUGAUCUAGCUUGCUCGAUUGAUGGCGAGUGGCGAACGGGUGAGUAAUACAUCGGAACGUGCCCUGUAGUGGGGGAUAACUAGUCGAAAGAUUAGCUAAUACCGCAUACGACCUGAGGGUGAAAGUGGGGGACCGCAAGGCCUCAUGCUAUAGGAGCGGCCGAUGUCUGAUUAGCUAGUUGGUGAGGUAAAGGCUCACCAAGGCGACGAUCAGUAGCUGGUCUGAGAGGACGAUCAGCCACACUGGGACUGAGACACGGCCCAGACUCCUACGGGAGGCAGCAGUGGGGAAUUUUGGACAAAGGGCGAAAGCCUGAUCCAGCAAUGCCGCGUGUGUGAAGAAGGCCUUCGGGUUGUAAAGCACUUUUGUCCGGAAAGAAAUGGCUCUGGUUAAUACCUGGGGUCGAUGACGGUACCGGAAGAAUAAGGACCGGCUAACUACGUG
Molecule: ribosomal RNA, 490 nt
Filed under: uncultured bacterium
Lineage: Bacteria
Description: partial 16S ribosomal RNA
Rfam family: Bacterial small subunit ribosomal RNA
Source: RNAcentral